Molecule: ribosomal RNA, 303 nt
Filed under: uncultured bacterium
Lineage: Bacteria
Description: partial 16S ribosomal RNA
Rfam family: Bacterial small subunit ribosomal RNA
Source: RNAcentral
AGCAGUCGCCGCGGUAAUACGUAGGGUGCGAGCGUUAAUCGGAAUUACUGGGCGUAAAGCGUGCGCAGGCGGUUAUAUAAGACAGUUGUGAAAUCCCCGGGCUCAACCUGGGAACUGCAUCUGUGACUGUAUAGCUAGAGUACGGUAGAGGGGGAUGGAAUUCCGCGUGUAGCAGUGAAAUGCGUAGAUAUGCGGAGGAACACCGAUGGCGAAGGCAAUCCCCUGGACCUGUACCGACGCUCAUGCACGAAAGCGUGGGGAGCAAACAGGAUUAUAUACCCCAUAGUCCCUGUCUCUUAUACC